GGGGCAACAGUGUAUAAACAUAUAUCAUGACAAAAAACAUACUAAGUAUUAUUAAUCGGCUAGCAAAGAGAAGUUAAACAUACGACAUGAACUGAAUUAACUAGUGCGCACGACUAGUUAAAAGAAACAAACUUCCUUUGACAAUAAGUUUCUAAUUAAAUCAUGGCUGCGCCUGGGCUGCGUUAUUGUGAGAGUGAAAGUGGACGUGCCGCUACUCCCCUCAUUCCCAACAUGUAUCAAGUACCUGCAUUGAGUAAUGCAAGAGUGAGAUGACACAUCUCAGCAAGUAAAAUAAUAUCAAACUGUUUAACCAUAUAAGAAUAUUGUUUUACCACCACUUGAUUCCACAACUUUCUUAUUACGACGGUGCAGCACGUAUACAACGUACAACACACCUAGUCACCACACCUCGCAGGUAGAAACCACAAUAGUAACAUAGUAAUGUCACAAUUCAUAUAUACCACAUGAGUGCAAAUGUCUGCAAAUGCAAGGAUGACUUCUACCUUCAUACCUCUAAGGAUAUGAAGCCGCAUCGUACCCCUCCUCGGGCAACGUACGAUGCUAAAAAUGUACCGGUACGGUCGGACCAUAAGAUCAUGACAUAACUUCAAAAUGCAAGAUGAAUGAUGCGAUGUGCAUGUCAUGCCUACAACACUUCAUAUAACGUGAUUCAAAAAAAAUACUUCAACUUCAUCCAAGAUGGGAAUCAACCACAUAUAUCAUAACCAAAUUAUGAUCAUCCACAAUAUUAGACAAUUGAGAAUUAAUACUUCCAAACAAAUAAACUUCAUCAUAGAAUUCAAUGAUUAACAUAAUUAAAACUUAUGCAUACUCAAUGACAGGGAAUAGGAUGCAAACCAAACGGUAGCAACCACCACUCUAUUUACUUGCCUUUACCGGAAGUUCGGGCAAAUCCCUAAGUACGAUCCGGAAGUCCACCACCUGUUUUUUGACACACAACUUAGUGCACCAAUUUCACAUAAUCAGGCUCAUAAACAACGCCGCACCUACGCACAAACUCAAACCCCGCCGUGGGUUACAUCUCUCCCCACACCCACCAAACUGCAGCGGCGCUGCUUAAUAAUUUCAUAACUUUAAAAUUAUGACAGCAGUGGUAACAAACAAAAACUCCAGAGACAUCUACAUAAAAUUCCCCACAAGUUUUGUAUACAAUUUAUAAUUAAAUUCCAACAUCUAAUUAGCCCAAAACAGUCCAGAAGAUGAACCCUGUAAUCUGUUUUUUUGUCUUUUGGACAGCGACAUACCCGGAUUCAAACAGCGAUAUCUUUUAAAAUAUAAUUCCAAAUCAAGCGCAUAAGUACUCAUUGGAAAGAUAAGACAAAGCCCUACAUGAUUAUAAUACUGGUUAACACUAAUUACCCACGAAAAAUUCCCACAAACUGCUAAUACUACUGCUGUUCACCCACCUGAAAAAUCUGUUUUUUUGGACAGCAACAUAACCGGAUUCAAACAACGAUAUCUCCUAAAUUAUAACUCCGAAUCGAGCGCAUAAGUACUCGUUGGAAAGGUAUGACAAAGCUCUACAUGAUUCUCCCACUGAUCCCCACUAAUUGCCCACGAAAAAUUCCCAGAAAUCCCUAGAACUACUGCUGUUCGCCCUCGCACAAAAAUUCUGGACAGCCCCUCUACCGAUUCGCAUAGAUAAACAUAUAAUCAAUUGAAUUUUAGCGCAAAAACAUAGAUAACUUCAAGAUCACCUUGAGUUCCACCUUUUUCCUCCUUCCUUCCUCCCACCAAUUCUCCAAUUGAAACUUGCACCCACACGAAGAAGAUCCGACGAGGAAGAACGACACUUGGAGAAGAGGGGAUGGGGGGCGGCGGCUAGGGUUGAGGAGAUGGCUGCUGCAAAAAAAACUUGAGAAUGGAGAGGGGGCGGCUGCAGCACUUGGGGAAGAGAGAAGAGGGAAGAGGG
RNAcentral lists this long non-coding RNA (1933 nucleotides) under Zea mays. Its description in RNAcentral is "long non-coding RNA (ZMAY_LNC003717)". The record is from RNAcentral. Lineage: Eukaryota; Viridiplantae; Streptophyta; Magnoliopsida; Poales; Poaceae.